UCUAACAUGUGCGCGAGUCAUUGGGAUUUUUUUAAACCUAAAGGCGCAAUGAAAGUGAAGGUCGUACCUCAGCGUCGACCGAGGGAGGAUGGCUCGCGUCACGAUGCGAGCCCGCACUCCCGGGGCGUCUCGUGCUCAUCGCGAGCAGAGGCGCACCCAGAGCGUACACGUUGGGACCCGAAAGAUGGUGAACUAUGCCUGGUCAGGACGAAGUCAGGGGAAACCCUGAUGGAGGUCCGUAGCGAUUCUGACGUGCAAAUCGAUCGUCGGAACUGGGUAUAGGGGCGAAAGACUAAUCGAACCAUCUAGUAGCUGGUUCCCUCCGAAGUUUCCCUCAGGAUAGCUGGCACUCGCUUGAGCGAGUCUCAUCUGGUAAAGCGAAUGAUUAGAGGCCUUGGGGCCGAAACGACCUCAACCUAUUCUCAAACUUUAAAUGGGUGAGAUCUCUGGCUUGCUUGAACGUUGAAGCCACGAGAAUUAUAUUUGAUGGAUCAGAGUGCCAAGUGGGCCAAUUUUGGU
This 519-nucleotide ribosomal RNA is filed under the name Adontomerus impolitus. RNAcentral describes it as "LSU rRNA". It matches the Rfam family "Eukaryotic large subunit ribosomal RNA", at positions 674 to 1141 of the family's 3401-position model. The record is from RNAcentral. Lineage: Eukaryota; Metazoa; Arthropoda; Insecta; Hymenoptera; Torymidae.